Molecule: transfer RNA, 73 nt
Filed under: Ophiocordyceps unilateralis
Lineage: Eukaryota; Fungi; Ascomycota; Sordariomycetes; Hypocreales; Ophiocordycipitaceae
Rfam family: tRNA
About the family: Transfer RNA (tRNA) molecules are approximately 80 nucleotides in length. Their secondary structure includes four short double-helical elements and three loops (D, anti-codon, and T loops).
Source: Rfam by way of RNAcentral
CGGGUUAUGGCUGAGUGGUUAAAGCGCUUUCUUUGGGAGAAAGAUUUCCUAUGUUCGAUUCAUAGUAACCCGA